Molecule: ribosomal RNA, 497 nt
Filed under: uncultured bacterium
Lineage: Bacteria
Description: partial 16S ribosomal RNA
Rfam family: Bacterial small subunit ribosomal RNA
Source: RNAcentral
GAUGAACGCUGGCGGCGUGCCUAAUACAUGCAAGUCGAGCGAACAGACGAGGAGCUUGCUCCUCUGACGUUAGCGGCGGACGGGUGAGUAACACGUGGAUAACCUACCUAUAAGACUGGGAUAACUUCGGGAAACCGGAGCUAAUACCGGAUAAUAUAUUGAACCGCAUGGUUCAAUAGUGAAAGACGGUUUUGCUGUCACUUAUAGAUGGAUCCGCGCCGCAUUAGCUAGUUGGUAAGGUAACGGCUUACCAAGGCAACGAUGCGUAGCCGACCUGAGAGGGUGAUCCGCCACCCUGGAACUGAGACACGGUCCAGACUCCUACGGGAGGCAGCAGUAGGGAAUCUUCCGCAAUGCGCGAAAGCCUGACGGAGCAACGCCGCGUGAGUGAUGAAGGUCUUCGGAUCGUAAAACUCUGUUAUUAGGGAAGAACAAAUGUGUAAGUAACUAUGCACGUCUUGACGGUACCUAAUCAGAAAGCCACGGCUAACUACGUG